This 389-nucleotide RNase P RNA is filed under the name Clostridia bacterium. Its description in RNAcentral is "RNase P RNA component class A". It matches the Rfam family "Bacterial RNase P class A". Rfam says of the family: Ribonuclease P (RNase P) is a ubiquitous endoribonuclease, found in archaea, bacteria and eukarya as well as chloroplasts and mitochondria. Its best characterised activity is the generation of mature 5'-ends of tRNAs by cleaving the 5'-leader elements of precursor-tRNAs. Lineage: Bacteria; Bacillati; Bacillota; Clostridia. The record is from RNAcentral.
UAGCUUCGUCGGACGGCCGCGCGGGAUCACGCCGAAAGGUAUUCCCGUGAGGAAAGUCCGGGCAUCGCAGGGCAGGAUAACUGAUAACGUCAGCCGCGGGUAACCGCCGGAAAAGGGCAACAGAAAUAGACCGCCGUCCCCCGUGGGCGGUAAGGAUGGAAAGGCGAGGUAAGAGCUCACCCACUUCCACGGUAACGUGGAUUUGCUGUAAACUCUAUCCGAUGCAACACCGUGUAAGGCCGCAAGGCGGGUCGGCCCGACCCAAUCCACUUACUGGGUGGCGCACGGCGAAAGCCGUGAAGCUCUCUGGUGACAGAGCGCGCAGAUAGAUGGUCGUCGGCUCUCCUUUGGGGAGCGCACAGAACCCGGCUUACAGACGGAGCUACAAA